Molecule: ribosomal RNA, 440 nt
Filed under: uncultured bacterium
Lineage: Bacteria
Description: partial 16S ribosomal RNA
Rfam family: Bacterial small subunit ribosomal RNA
Source: RNAcentral
CCUACGGGAGGCAGCAGUGGGGAAUAUUGCACAAUGGGGGAAACCCUGAUGCAGCGACGCCGCGUGAGUGAAGAAGUAAUUCGUUACGUAAAGCUCUAUCAGCAGGGAAGAAAAUGACGGUACCUGAGUAAGAAGCCCCGGCUAACUACGUGCCAGCAGCCGCGGUAAUACGUAGGGGGCAAGCCUUAUCCGGAUUUACUGGGUGGAAAGGGAGCGUAGACGGUGCGCCAAGUCUGGAGUGAAAUGCCGCAGCUUAACUGUGGGACUGCUUUGGAAACUGGCGAACUAGAGUGCGGGAGGGGUAAGCGGAAUUCCUAGGGUAGCGGUGAAAUGCGUAGAUAAUAGGAGGAACACCGGUGGCGGAGGCGGCUUACUGGACCGUAACUGACGUUGAGGCUCGAAAGCGUGGGGAGCCAACCGGAAUAGAUACCCCAGUAGUC